UCCCUAAACACAAAGCAGCAGCAGCCGUUUAUCUGAACGGUGAGCAGCGGCUCUCUGGCUGAACCGGACCGGGAUGCUGUGAUAUGGCCGUGAAUGAGUCCCGGGGGAAGCAGGCAGUGGACCGGCAGCUCCGCGGGGCCGGCGGACAGAGCCGCCGCCGGUGACGGUGCCGCCGUUACCGGUACCGGAAAGCUGGGCACGCUGUGGUCCGUGUCCUCCCCGCUGUUGGCCGCGCUGUCCCUGCUCCGGUCGCUCCUCUGCGGGCUGUGGAGCCGCACCGUGGCCGCUGUCAGAGCCGCGGAGCAGCCCGGCGGCAGCGGGAGCCCGGAGCGAGGCCAGCGGGUCAGAAGCCACCACGGGCGGGCCUUCGAGUUCAUCUCUGCGGCGCUGAGGAUCGAUGAGGAUGAGCAAGGUGACAAGCAGCAGGCGGUGGGCUGGUACCAGCAAGGGAUCAGCGAGCUGGAGAAAGGCAUCGCCAUCCAGAUCUCAGGAAGCGGAGAGAAAUAUGAGCGAGACAGACGGCUGCAGAACAAAAUGACCACCAACCUGAUCAUGGCGAAAGACCGACUGCAGUCUUUAGCCACGGUGCUCUCCAGGUCCAGAGCUCAGACGGACAUUAACACUGACAGCACUAACCACACCCACCUGCGCUCAGCAGGUGGCGCUGUCCCGAGGAAGAGAGAGACUGUUAAUCCAGCAGCAUCCAGCCGACUAAAGACCACCUCCUCCUCCUCCUCCUCCUCCUCCUCCUCCUCCUCCUCCUCCUCGGCAGGCCUCCAUCGCUCAUCAAACCUCAGCUCACAGCGCCGCCCUGCCCACACUAACAGGAACAGUAAGGGUAGAAACAGUCGCCGCACCGUUAAAGUCAGCUCCCCAACGUCGACGCCGCUGAAGAAGAAACACACAAAGAACCUGAAAAAUGUAGACGAGAAACUCGCCAACCUCAUCCUGAACGAGAUCGUUGACAGCGGUUCAUCCGUCAGGUUCGAGGACGUUGCCGGUCAGGAUUUGGCGAAGCAGGCGCUGCAGGAGAUCGUCAUCCUGCCGGCGCUGAGACCCGAGCUGUUUACAGGACUGCGGACUCCAGCCAGAGGUCUCCUUCUGUUCGGUCCGCCCGGUAACGGCAAGACGAUGCUGGCGAAAGCUGUGGCAGCUGAAUCCAACGCCACCUUCUUCAACAUCAGCGCCGCCAGUUUAACCUCCAAAUACGUGGGUGAAGGUGAGAAGCUGGUUCGAGCUCUGUUCUCUGUGGCCCGAGAGCUGCAGCCCUCCAUCAUCUUCAUCGAUGAAGUGGACAGUUUGCUGUGUGAACGGAGGGAGGGCGAGCACGACGCCAGCCGACGCCUCAAGACUGAAUUCCUCAUUGAGUUUGACGGGGUCCAGUCAGGAGGUGAUGACCGGGUUUUGGUGAUGGGAGCCACCAACAGGCCUCAGGAGCUGGACGAGGCCGUUCUCAGGCGUUUUGCUAAGCGCGUGUACGUCGCUCUGCCAGUUGAGGAGACGCGCUUCAAGCUGCUGAAGAACCUGUUGGAGAAACACAGCAACCCGCUGACACACAGAGAGCUGCGCCAGCUGAGCAGGAUGACGGAGGGUUACUCUGGCAGUGACCUCACCUCACUGGCUAAAGACGCCUCCCUGGGACCAAUCAGAGAAGGCCGAGUACAGUCCUCCAGACGUCCCUCUCCCCGGCAACGCUCUCCAGCUCCUCCUGGAGGACCCCGAGGUGUUCCCAGAUGAGAUCUAUAAUCCCUCCAGUGUGUUCUGGGUCUGCCCCGGGGCCUCCUACCAGCUGGACCAGGAGGAUCCUGAUCAGAUGUUGAACCACCUCAACAUGAAGGAGCAGCGGCUCUACUCCGAGCUCCCUCCAGAGUUGUGUCCAGAACAAGUGAGGAACAUGGACGCCAGCGAGAUCCGAAACAUUUGUUUCAGAGACUUUGUUGAAUCUCUGAAGAAGAUUAAGAGAAGUGUCGGUGCUCAGACU
This is an RNA transcript of Epinephelus moara (kelp grouper), 1981 nucleotides long. It is a transcript of the gene named spastin, with no coding region annotated. The record is from RefSeq and is a predicted model, not a curated record. The transcript has 18 exons. Lineage: Eukaryota; Metazoa; Chordata; Actinopteri; Perciformes; Serranidae.